RNAcentral lists this ribosomal RNA (207 nucleotides) under uncultured bacterium. RNAcentral describes it as "partial 16S ribosomal RNA". It matches the Rfam family "Bacterial small subunit ribosomal RNA", at positions 568 to 774 of the family's 1533-position model. The record is from RNAcentral.
CACGUAGGCGGCUUUGUAAGUUAGAGGUGAAAGCCCAGGGCUCAACCCUGGAAUUGCCUUUAAGACUGCAUCGCUAGAAUUGUGGAGAGGUAAGUGGAAUUCCGAGUGUAGAGGUGAAAUUCGUAGAUAUUCGGAAGAACACCAGUGGCGAAGGCGACUUACUGGACACAUAUUGACGCUGAGGUGCGAAAGCGUGGGGAGCAAACA